AGUAGCAAUGGAGUUUCUACUCCCUGUAGUAGUAUAGUGUGAUUAAUUGUACAAGGAUAUAAUGUCGCACCAAGUUUGGCAAAUGUUUUUUUGUACAAGCCCAAUUUUGGGCCCAAAGCCCACUAAAUACCCACUACACCCAAAACAAAUAACCUACCCAAAUCACCCCAAAGACCCAAACCUACCCAUGCCCACACACACAACAAAAGAAAAAAGCAAAGGAAACUCUAGCCGUUCAGCACCUGCUCCCCAUCUCAUCCACCACCGACGUCUGCAAGCACCGCCACUGUGCCACCGCCCCACUUGCGCCUGCAACAUUAAAAAAAGGAGAAUAGACAGAUAUUAAAAAAGGGAAAUGUAAUGGCUAUUUAAAAGCCAAAUCCAAAAACCAUGUACUCAUUCAGGCAUUUUCAGUAAAAAUAAAGAGCAAUAUUAGAUCGUAAAACUGAAGCAAAAAACAAAGAAACCCUAGCAAUAUCAAACAACAAAAUCAGUUCAAACAGAGAAUAGACAUCUAAUAACCGAAGGUGAUUCAUCUUAAUCUUCUUGCUUUUUCUUUCUUUUUCACUUACUCUACUCACAUAUAUAUAUACGCUUUAAAAACAAAAAAAUAUAAAAAUUUCUUACCUUUUUCGAUCUCCAGCCACCAUGCACGGUGGCCGGCACGGCGCUUGGCCUGCACCUCGCCGGCUUCUGGGCCGAUAGACCAAGAGAGGGAGAGAGGGUUCGGGGCUUU
Molecule: long non-coding RNA, 736 nt
Filed under: Gossypium barbadense (sea-island cotton)
Lineage: Eukaryota; Viridiplantae; Streptophyta; Magnoliopsida; Malvales; Malvaceae
Description: long non-coding RNA (GBAR_LNC009549)
Source: RNAcentral